UCAGAAUCAACGCGGGCGGCGCGCCUAACACAUGCAAGUCGAACGAGAAAGGGGAGCAAUCCCUGAGUAAAGUGGCGUACGGGUGAGUAACACGUGGAUAAUCUACCUCUUAGUGGGGAAUAACGCUGGGAAACCGGCGCUAAUACCGCAUAAGCUCGAGAGAGGAAAGCAGCAAUGCGCUGAGAGAGGAGUCCGCGGCCGAUUAGCUAGUUGGUGAGGUAACGGCCCACCAAGGCAAAGAUCGGUAGCCGGCCUGAGAGGGCACACGGCCACACUGGCACUGAAACACGGGCCAGACUCCUACGGGAGGCAGCAGUGGGGAAUCUUGCACAAUGGGGGAAACCCUGAUGCAGCGACGCCGCGUGAGCGAUGAAGCCCUUCGGGGUGUAAAGCUCUUUCGGCAGGGAAGAUGAUGACGGUACCUGCAGAAGCAGCUGCGGCUAACUACGUGCCAGCAGCCGCGGUAAUACGUAGGCAGCAAGCGUUGUUCGGAGUUACUGGGCGUAAAGGGUGUGUAGGCGGUUCUUUAAGUUUGGUGUGAAAUCUCCCGGCUCAACUGGGAGGGUGCGCCGAAUACUGAGGGGCUAGAGUGCGGGAGAGGAGAGUGGAAUUCCUGGUGUAGCGGUGAAAUGCGUAGAUAUCAGGAGGAACACCGGUGGUGUAAACGGCUCUCUGGACCGUAACUGACGCUGAGACACGAAAGCGUGGGUAGCAAACAGGAUUAGAUACCCUGGUAGUCCACGCCCUAAACGAUGCAUAUUUGGUGUGGGUCAUUCAGUUGAUCCGUGCCGGAGCUAACGCGUUAAAUAUGCCGCCUGGGGAGUACAGUCGCAGGGCUGAAACUCAAAG
This 849-nucleotide ribosomal RNA is filed under the name uncultured bacterium. Its description in RNAcentral is "bacterial SSU rRNA". It matches the Rfam family "Bacterial small subunit ribosomal RNA", at positions 24 to 906 of the family's 1533-position model. The record is from RNAcentral.